This 84-nucleotide transfer RNA is filed under the name Agaricus bisporus var. bisporus H97. RNAcentral's name for it is "tRNA-Thr". It matches the Rfam family "tRNA". Rfam says of the family: Transfer RNA (tRNA) molecules are approximately 80 nucleotides in length. Their secondary structure includes four short double-helical elements and three loops (D, anti-codon, and T loops). Lineage: Eukaryota; Fungi; Basidiomycota; Agaricomycetes; Agaricales; Agaricaceae. The record is from RNAcentral.
UCCCUCUUAGCUCAGUUGGUAGAGCGCGUCACUAGUACCGGGGAGUCUAUGACGAGGUCAGUCGUUCGAGUCGGCUAGAGGGAA